Molecule: ribosomal RNA, 661 nt
Filed under: Streptomyces griseoverticillatus
Lineage: Bacteria; Bacillati; Actinomycetota; Actinomycetes; Kitasatosporales; Streptomycetaceae
Description: bacterial LSU rRNA
Rfam family: Bacterial large subunit ribosomal RNA
Source: RNAcentral
UAAGGGUUCCUGGGUCAAGCUGAUCUGCCCAGGGUAAGUCGGGACCUAAGGCGAGGCCGACAGGCGUAGUCGAUGGACAACCGGUUGAUAUUCCGGUACCCGCUUUGAAACGCCCAAUAUCGAAUCAGGCGAUGCUAAGUCCGUGAAGCCGCCCUGGAGUCUUCGGACAAAGGGGAGUGGUGGAGCCGACGAACCAGAAUUGUAGUAGGUAAGCGAUGGGGUGACGCAGGAAGGUAGUCCAGCCCGGGCGGUGGUAGUCCCGGGGUAAGGGUGUAGGCCGUGUGAUAGGCAAAUCCGUCACACAUUAAGSCUGAGACCUGAUGCCGAGCCGAUUGUGGUGAAGUGGAUGAUCCUAUGCUGUCGAGAAAAGCCUCUAGCGAGUUUCAUGGCGGCCCGUACCCUAAACCGACUCAGGUGGUCAGGUAGAGAAUACCGAGGCGUUCGGGUGAACUAUGGUUAAGGAACUCGGCAAAAUGCCCCCGUAACUUCGGGAGAAGGGGGGCCAUGUCUGGUGAGGGAACUUGCUUCCUGAGCUGGGUGUGGCCGCAGAGACCAGCGAGAAGCGACUGUUUACUAAAAACACAGGUCCGUGCGAAGCCGUAAGGCGAUGUAUACGGACUGACGCCUGCCCGGUGCUGGAACGUUAAGGGGACCGGUUAGC